AUGCUUAUUUCAGCAGUGCAUGUGCCACAGCUGAAACAAUACAGAGAAUAUGAUGGUACUUGCACGAGGAUGACAUGCAGAUUUGUGAAGUGUUCUAUAUUUUA
This is a small nuclear RNA of Fukomys damarensis (Damara mole-rat), 104 nucleotides long. Lineage: Eukaryota; Metazoa; Chordata; Mammalia; Rodentia; Bathyergidae. The record is from Ensembl.